Nyctereutes procyonoides (raccoon dog) is the source of this 6190-nucleotide long non-coding RNA. RefSeq lists it as uncharacterized. Lineage: Eukaryota; Metazoa; Chordata; Mammalia; Carnivora; Canidae. The transcript is spliced from 6 exons. The record is from RefSeq and is a predicted model, not a curated record.
ACACAUAGAGUUCACCAGGGUUACACAACCAGGGAGUGAUGGGGUCUGAACUUGGAACCAGAGCCCGUACCCCAGACCCCCAUGCCGCACUGACCCUCUAUCUCCGUCUCCAGGAUGGAAAAGACACAGCGUCGGCCAUCCAGGGGCACGGAGCAUCAGAAGCAAACAGAGAAGGCCCAUCUGUUAUUUCAUUAAGUCCUUCCCCGUAAUCCUAUCAGGCUCUCCCUCCAGCACGUGGCACACCAAGGGUGCCCAGAAGACAAUCUGUAAAUUAAAGUGCUACCAGCCAAAACAACCUCAGCCUGGUUGCUUAGCAGGCCUCGCUCCUCCUUACAAGUGAGAAUGCUCUGGCCAAGCGGGGUUAAGUGGCUUGCCUGGCCAUGGAAUAUCUGAUUCAGAGGUCCGAGCGGUGAUGGGUUCAACUCUAUGGAAGAGAGCCAGAGCAGAGCUGGAAAUCCAUCCUGGGUCCAUGGAAGAGCAUCCCUGCCUUAACGGCUUUACCGUUGAAAAGUUGGAAUGAGAUUCUCCAUGCAUUGUCAGAGCAUUUACAAGUCCACGUCCACCAGAGGCUUUGCUGAGGGUUGCUCCUGGCUGGGUCUCCCUCAUCAGACAGCGUCGGAGGCCAGGUGAACGGAAGGAGCCCACUGAGUCCGGAGAUGCGAAGAGUUGACAGCCUAGACGCGGCCCAUUGCAUCUCUGCCCCUGUGGCUCUGCGGAGGUGGCACGGCAGGCUGCCACGUUGGACGGCUGGUGGUACAUGUGACCUGAGACAAGUGCGGAGAGCGUAGCUUCUCACUCAGCUGGCACACAUCGGAGCAGUCCGCCACCCUCUCUCAGAAGUUGACAUUUGGCAUCCUUUUCGGUGCUGCUUUAUCCAGACAGGCUGCUUUGCCCUGGGGAUAGCCAGAAAGAGAGGGGACUCCCUCCUGAUUUCUAGGAGCCACGGGGGGACACUUAGCCUCCAUUCUGCGCUGGGUCCUUUGGUAGGUGGUUAUUGUGCCAGGGACAAAUAACCUGGUUAUGUCACUUACCCCUCACCCUCCGGGGUGGCCGAUGUGCUCCACGAUUUACUAAGCUGAGGCUUGCAGAUUCUACGUGACGUCCCAAGUCUCAGCAGCAGAGUUGGGUGCUCACUUCCUUCUGGCUCAUUACAAGCCUUGCUUUUCCCACGUGGCUGUGGGGGCCUCACACCAAGGAGACAGUUGGGGCAGAUGGGGCCCAUUUUAGAAGUUGUAUGAAAACGUAUUGUAAGCAAAUUGCCAUUAAUUUUAUUUUAUUUUUUUAAGAUUUAUUUAUUUAUUCAUGAUAGUCACACAGAGAGAGAGAGAGAGAGAGAGAGAGAGGCAGAGACAUAGGCAGAGGGAGAAGCAGGCUCCAUGCACCAGGAGCCCGACGUGGGAUUCGAUCUCGGGUCUCCAGGAUCGCGCCCCGGGCCAAAGGCAGGUGCCAAACUGCUGUGCCACCCAGGGAUCCCAAAUUGCCAUUAAUUUUAAAUGGACUCUGUAACUUUAAUACAUAGGAUAUUUCCAAAAUUCUGGUUUGAAGGUUAACCUGCCACCAUGGAGAUUUUUAUCCAGAGGAAAAAGGAAACAAAGGUGAAAACUCUACCCUACCCCCAAAGGCAAGAGGACAGGUGCUGGCCUGCCAAGUGAGGGGGCUGGAUUUAGCGAUGUGGGAAUUAGCUUCAAGUUGCCACCCAGAGGCUGGGGGUGGGCACAGGGGCCCAAGCCAGGUGUCCAUUCCCUGAGGCUGGGAGGUGACAUGAUGGAUGAGACAGAGUGGCUUGGGCCAUUCCCCCAGGCUGCCCUGGCCUUUUCCACAUGACCUCCACACAGCAGUUCACUCUAACUCAGUGACUUCUCAAAACUGCCGUCUAAAGACCUAAUCUUGGGAAGCUGUAAGUCCCAUACAAACUUUAAAAAUCAUAUUUUAUUUCGAUAGUAUAAAAAUAAUUCUCAAACCGACAUCUAAACACAUGUUCUUUGUUGCAAUGAUAAUAUGCUUUGCUGUAGAGUAAGCCUUUCAAUUUUGUUGUGUCUCCGAUGGGGGCCCGAGCUGAACUCUCUAGAAUGUAUGAAUUAUUUUUUCCUUUAAAUGGAGUCCAUGCACAGUUGGAGUUGAGAAACCCAGUCCUCACAUAAAAUUAUGCUCCCAAGCCCCAGAGAUCAGAAACAGUGAGCAAGUUACACAGAGAGACCCCGGUGGCCUGGCUCCAGGCCUGGAGGCUGUGGGGCGAUAGGAAGGGAAGAAAAAUCUGUUUGUCCCCUUGGCUCCUCUUCCCAACUCUGAGCAAAGCCUGGCUUCAGAAAAGAUGAAACUGGGCUGAGGCGGCGUGGCUGCCGAGCAGGGGCACACAGCAGGGUCCCUGGGGACCCAGCACCCUCCCCCCGCCCCUGUUAAAUGGAAAUAAUUUCCUGACUAGCCCCUGAUUCUUUCUGGGGGUGGCUCGUGGAAUAUUACUGAGUUUCCAGUUUGGCUGCUUCGGUCUGGAACAUCAGAAUUUCAGUUUCAUAUGCAGUAUUAAAUAUUUAGGACUUUGGGUCCAGUGCAUACAUGGAUCUUCUGAGCCUCUGUAGGACUUGGCUGGACACAGACUGCUGAGUUCACCCUUCCAGUAACAGAAAUAUAGUAUUAGUGACAUCCAGUGUUUACUGAGGUCUCACUGUACACUGUCGUCUCCUCUUAUUCUCCGCUAGGAAGAUUAGGGGGUGUUAGCAUCACUCCCUUUUUCUAGAUACCCAAGGCUUGGACAGAUCAAGUGACCUGCCCAAGAUCCCCCAUGCUUGAGCCGUAUCUACAAACUCUUCUGACUACAAACUGUCACGGAAGGAGUUUGCUGAACACCCAUUGUGCACAGAUCCUUUUUUUCUGGGUGUAAUUGGGGAUGGCACGUCCUGCCCUUUAGAAUCACGAUAUCCAAACACCAGCCACUGCUCUCACGUGGCUACUGAGAACUUGAAAUGUGGCUGGUCGUAACUGAGAUGUGCUGUGGGUGCCAAACACGUGCUGGAGUUCAAAGGGGGUGCAAAAAAGAGAACGCAAAACAUUUCAUUAAUAUUUUUAUAUUAAUUGUGUGUUGGUAAUAUUUUACAUAUAUUGGGUUAAAUAUAUUAUUAAACUGCAGCAUGCUGGUUUCUUUCUUAAAAAAGUUUUAUUUAUUUAUUCAUAAGAGACACAGAGAGAGGCAGAGACAUAGGCAGAGGGAGAAGCAGGCUCCUUGCAGGGAGCCUGAUGCAGGACUCCAUCCCGGGAUCCCGGAAUCACGACCUGAGCCAAAGGCAGAUGCUCAACCACUGAGCCACCAGGUGCCCCUUCUUUUUACUUUUUUGUAAACGUGGCCACUAGAAGAUUGAAAACGACAUCCGUGGCUCUUGUUCUUUUUUCUACAGACAGCACUGCCCGAGAAGUUCUGCUGCGCGAGUGCACACUGGUUUGGUCCUGGAUCCUGGGCUGGUUCAGACACUGUCAGUGUUUGGGCAUCUGUCACUGUGGUGAUGAUGAGUCCUGAGAGAGCAGAGGACAGGGUUUGUCCCUCUGCCCCCAAAAGCAAAAAGCAGAGGGCUGCAUACAUGAGAGAAACUUGGGAAGUACAGUCGAUUUUUGUUAUUCGUGGUUGUUAUGUUCUAUAAGGUUGCCGGAUUCCUAAAUACGGAAUCCAGACGACGGAUUCCUAAAUACGGAAACGCUGCUCCUAGGGGAAGUAUAGGGUUAGGUUCCUUGUCAGGUUCUUACGUUGUUGCCAGCUGAUCAAUACAUCACCCUGCUUGGUGUAUGUUUCUGUUUAAAGAUUAUUUAUGCAUAAAUCCAUAUAUAUAUCCAAUAUAUCCACUAUAACUCGUGCCUGGGGACACCUGGGUGGCUCAGUGGUUGGGCAUCUGCCUUUGGCUCAGGUUGUGAUUCCGGGGUCCUGGGAUCGAGUCCCACAUCGGGUUCCCCACAGGGACCCUACUUCUCCCUCUAUGUCUCUGCCUCUCUCUGUGUCUCUCUCAUGAAUAAAUAAAUAAAAUCUUUAAAAAUAUAUAACUCGUGCCUGAAUGAAGCUUAUCUAAUACUCCAUAAGACGCAUCACAGCUCUAUUCAGCUUAGAAACACCAGACAGUAUUACGCUGCUUGGGGGCUAUUUUAAACAGUGAUGUCACCAACAAAAAGUAUGAAAUAUGAAAAAUAUGACACUAGAUAUACCUCCCAAAGGACACUUGUGAAUGUGCGUGCUGAGUGACUCAAAAUUUUUGCUACCCUGCGCACGUCUGCAAACGCCCGCAAAAGCACGACGAAUACUGAUUUGGGGUUACAGAAACAUUUUAGUGAGUGGGUGAAUUGGCAAACACGGAAUCCGCAGAUAAUGAGAAGUGUUUUUACCAGCUUACUAUGGUCAGUGCCAGUGCUCAUCUCCCACUGGCUGCCAGUCUUUUGAUCUCAAAGUCUGCCCUGAGGUUUCUGGUUGUGUCCACUUACCAUCAGCCCACUGCCCCAAGCUGGAGCCGCAGGCCUGGAGGUGCGGGGAGGCCUGGCCUCAGAGGAGAGGAAGAGCAACUGGCGUCCUGCAGUUUGCAACCCACAGGCCGGAUAUUUCACCUCUUCACGCCUCGACUAUGCAGUCUAUAAAAUGGAGGUCACGCUCGUCAUUUCCUCCCUUGUGAAUGCUGUCCUGAAGAUCGGGCGAGGUGACUAUGCAAAGUGCCUUGGAAGCAGCACCUAACACACGGAUGCACAGCGCUCACGUGCUUUCCUGAUCCGCUGUGAGCUGGGGAAGGCAGGACUUGUCGGUGCGCAGGCAUUGAGAACGCAGGCUCUGGACUCAGUUUACCUGGGUUGGGAUCCUGACCCUGUCCCUGAUUGCACUGCGUGAGCUUGGGCCAGUGACUGGAACUCCCCAGGCCUCAAGCGCCCUGUGAGAUGGGGAUGAUACUGACAGUGCAAGGACUCAAUGAGGCUGUGCUGGCAAAGCGCUUGGCACAGAGGAUGCCCAAUAGGUGGUGGCGAGUCUCUAGUGGUAACCGUGCCCUCAUCUGGGCUGAGGGAUGGGGGCAGGGGGAGUCAUGUGAGCCUCAGCGUCUUCAUCUUAAAAGCCAGGAAAUAGUACCUCCUUCAGAUAGUAGGGUAAGAAAUAACCCAGAGCAUAUCAAAGCUGGGCACAUAAGAAAUACUUCACGCUCCUUUCUCUUCCCCCCGUUCUGUUUGAUCCUCCUGGACCUGCAUUUCCUCCCUUGUUAAAGGGGAUUCCUCACUUGUUAAAGGGGAGUAAAAGCACCUGCUCAGCGAGGUGGUUGUCUGAUUGGAUGAGGUGAUUUACCGAGCCCACCAAGCGCAGCGCCCCGCACCUGGGAGUCCUGGAUGGUGAGUCUGUCUGUCCUUCCUCCCGCCUCCCCACCGAGUGGAUCCAACAGGGCUGAGAAGAAACAAAACGGAGCUAACUGCUCAUGGACAAUGGGAAUGUGGGGCAGGCCAGCCUCACUGAUGCCUAAGAGGAAGCCUGGCUUAAGAGAAGGGUUGGGGAGGGCGGGGGUGUCUAGCAGGAGUGGGUUACCCUCUGGGCUAAGGAAUUUGAUUCUCUGGAGAGCUUCAGAUGAAAACAUCUGGGCUGACCUGGGGCAGAUCUGCUGGGUUCGGAGAGAGCUAGCGGGGGUGGCGUCAGGGGGGUCAUUUGUCUUUAGCCUCAGGAGACAAUGAACCCUGGGCCUCCUGAGCAAUGAGACUAGGGACAGGGAGGGAUGUCCCAUGCUCCUUCUGCUUUCUCUCACGCAGCUUCUAAGGAAAUUCCAUUGCAUUGUAUUUACAAGGCAUCCCCAACUGUCAGCUUCCUUGAACACAAUGUAUUUAAUAAAAAGCCAUUAAGCCUUGUAAAGCUGUCAGAAAUCUAAAUGACACUUGUAAUAAAAUCUUGUCGGGUGACCUGUUCCGGUUAAUCAGGUCCAGUGACAUCAUCACCCGCAGAUCUGUCUGGUACCCAAGGCGCUAGGUAUAUUUAGACAGCUUUAUGAUCCACACCGAUUUGAGUUAUUAAAAUUGUACAGUUUUGCAAGGAAUUUGGGAUUUAAUAAAGCAGUGGAGAAACUACAAAAGGAGCAAUAACCUUCCAAAAAGCCAAUCCUCCGUGUGCUGGGGGCGUGUGCUGGGGGCGUGUGCUCGGGCUAGUGGCCAGGCGGAUCCCAUGCCAGGCCCUCACAUGGGUGAUUUUAUGCAUCUACAA